This 460-nucleotide ribosomal RNA is filed under the name uncultured bacterium. Its description in RNAcentral is "partial 16S ribosomal RNA". It matches the Rfam family "Bacterial small subunit ribosomal RNA", at positions 28 to 507 of the family's 1533-position model. The record is from RNAcentral.
GACGAACGCUGGCGUCGUGCUUAACACAUGCAAUUCUAGCGGUAAGGCCUCUUCGGGGGUACACUAGCGGCGAACGGGUGCGUAACACGUGUGUGACCUGCCCUCAGCUCUGGGAUAAUCCUUGGCAACUGGGUCUAAUACCGUAUAUGACCUUUCCUCGCAUGCGGUUUGGUGGAAAGUUUUUUCGGCUGGGGAUGGGCCCGCGGCCUAUCAGCUUGUUGGUGGGGUGAUGGCCUACCAAGGAGCCGACGGGUAGCCGGCCUGAGAGGGCGACCGGCCACACUGGGACUGAGACACGGCCCAGACUCCUACGGGAGGCAGCAGUGGGGAAUAUUGCGCAAUGGGCGGAAGCCUGACGCAGCGACGCCGCGUGGGGGAUGACGGCCUUCGGGUUGUAAACCUCUUUCGACCCCGACGAAUUUGGACGGUAGGGGUAGAAGAAGCACCGGCCAACUACGUG